CACGGAGUUAGCCGAUCCUUAUUCCUUCGGUACAUUCAGCUAGAUACACGUAUCUAGGUUUAUUCCCGAAUAAAAGCAGUUUACAACCCAGAGGGCCGUCUUCCUGCACGCGGCAUGGCUGGUUCAGAGUUGCCUCCAUUGACCAAUAUUCCUUACUGCUGCCUCCCGUAGGAGUCUGGUCCGUGUCUCAGUACCAGUGUGGGGGGCCAUCCUCUCAGAUCCCCUAGCCAUCGUCGCCUUGGUGGGCCGUUACCCCGCCAACUAGCUAAUGGCACGCAUGCCCAUCCUUCUCCCAUAAAUGUUUGACCACAUCACGAUGCCGUAUCGUGGUCUUAUGCGGUAUUAAUCCGAAUUUCUUCGGGCUAUCCCCCAGAAAAGGGUAGGUUGCAUACGCGUUACGCACCCGUGCGCCGGUCUCAAGCUAGCAAGCUAGCUCUACCCCUCGACUUGCAUGUAUUAGGCCUGCCGCUAGCGUUCAUCCUGAGCCAGGAUCAAAC
RNAcentral lists this ribosomal RNA (497 nucleotides) under uncultured Sphingobacteriaceae bacterium. Its description in RNAcentral is "partial 16S ribosomal RNA". Lineage: Bacteria; Pseudomonadati; Bacteroidota; Sphingobacteriia; Sphingobacteriales; Sphingobacteriaceae. The record is from RNAcentral.